Molecule: non-coding RNA, 419 nt
Organism: Heterocephalus glaber (naked mole-rat)
Lineage: Eukaryota; Metazoa; Chordata; Mammalia; Rodentia; Bathyergidae
Source: RefSeq, a predicted model, not a curated record
GGGAGGCCACGCCCCCGGCGGAGCUGCGUGUUCGUCCGCGAGGCCGGGCUAAACUCUAGUCCUGGGGCCCAGGGUGUUUUUCCUGCGCAGAACGUCACAGAGAUAAAUUACUGUUACAGAGUCUUUCAGACUGACUUUUUUCACUUACAGUGCAGCUCCAGUCCUGACCUUCACCUUGGACAUCCUCUCCUGGCUGGCAGCACAGACCUUCAGUCUUCCAUCGCAGACCCUUUGGCCUUCUGAUAUGGACUCCCACAGGGCGCUACAUUGAGCUCCAGGCCUUCGCCUGGGUCCUUAGGAUCUCCAGUGUACAGACAGCCCUUUUGCACCUUUCCACACUGACUCUGUGGGUGGCCAUUGUAAGCCCAUCUUGUAAGCUCUUAUAUAUUUGUAUAUCUUGCCUUAAAUCUGUUUUUCUA